UACGUAGGGGCCGAGCGUUGUCCGGAGUUAUUGGGCGUAAAGCGCGCGCAGGCGGCCUCGCGCGCCCGACGUGAAAGCCCCCGGCUUAACCGGGGAGGGUCGUUGGGGACGGCGGGGCUUGAGGGCGGGAGAGGGUGGUGGAAUUCCCGGUGUAGUGGUGAAAUGCGCAGAUAUCGGGAGGAACACCAAUUGCGAAGGCAGCUCGCUGGGACGUCACUGACGCUGAGACGCGAAAGCGUGGGGAGCAAACAGG
Molecule: ribosomal RNA, 253 nt
Filed under: uncultured bacterium
Lineage: Bacteria
Description: partial 16S ribosomal RNA
Rfam family: Bacterial small subunit ribosomal RNA
Source: RNAcentral